GGACUGAGGAUGACUUCUACAUAUACAUCUCUUGGAAAUCUGAACAAAAUGUGUGAAAACCCCUACUAUCUCGCUUAUCAAUCUGAUGUCC
This is a small nucleolar RNA of Loxodonta africana (African savanna elephant), 91 nucleotides long. Its record names the gene SNORD116. It matches the Rfam family "Small nucleolar RNA SNORD116". Rfam says of the family: HBII-85 is a member of the C/D class of snoRNAs, which contain the C (UGAUGA) and D (CUGA) box motifs. HBII-85 is encoded in a tandemly repeated array with another C/D snoRNA, HBII-52, in the Prader-Willi syndrome (PWS) region of chromosome 15. Unlike most other snoRNAs, HBII-85 is expressed prevalently in the brain (but is absent in PWS patients) and lacks any significant complementarity with ribosomal RNA. Lineage: Eukaryota; Metazoa; Chordata; Mammalia; Proboscidea; Elephantidae. The record is from Ensembl.